UCUCGACAUCAUUAAAAAUGUACUUUUAUUUUUAUAUAGAUUUAAAAACCAUUCAUACUUCAACAGGAAAAAAUCUUCUAGUUUCUGGAUGGUGGGGCUUUGUUCGCCACCCCAAUUACUUGGGUGACCUCAUCAUGGCCUUGGCGUGGUCCCUCGCAUGUGGUUUUAACCACAUUCUGCCUUAUUUCUACAUAAUUUAUUUCACCAUGUUGCUUGUCCACCGAGAAGCUCGUGACGAGUACCACUGUAAGAAGAAAUACGGCGUGGCUUGGGAAAAGUACUGUCAGCGUGUGCCCUACCGUAUAUUUCCAUACAUCUACUAAUGCUCUUCUGGCUUAUUUACAAAAUACUCCUGCAAUUCCAGCUGCCAUUUGCAAAAACAAGGAAGAAAAUCCGAAAUUUUCUUUUGUUGCACUGACAGGAUCUGUAAAUUUUUUUUUCUUUUUGAGUCAGGACUAUAGAGCCGAGUAGUUGAUCUUUUAAUAUAGCCGUGUUUACUUUUAUUAAAUUACAGUUAACAUAGGAAAAAUACAAGU
This 536-nucleotide small RNA is filed under the name Pongo abelii (Sumatran orangutan). RNAcentral's name for it is "retained intron". Lineage: Eukaryota; Metazoa; Chordata; Mammalia; Primates; Hominidae. The record is from RNAcentral.